This 496-nucleotide ribosomal RNA is filed under the name uncultured bacterium. Its description in RNAcentral is "partial 16S ribosomal RNA". It matches the Rfam family "Bacterial small subunit ribosomal RNA", at positions 28 to 506 of the family's 1533-position model. The record is from RNAcentral.
GAUGAACGCUGGCGGCGUGCCUAAUACAUGCAAGUCGAGCGAACGGACGAGAAGCUUGCUUCUCUGAUGUUAGCGGCGGACGGGUGAGUAACACGUGGAUAACCUACCUAUAAGACUGGGAUAACUUCGGGAAACCGUAGCUAAUACCGGAUAAUAUAUUGAACCGCAUGGUUCAAUAGUGAAAGACGGUCUUGCUGUCACUUAUAGAUGGAUCCGCGCUGCAUUAGCUAGUUGGUAAGGUAACGGCUUACCAAGGCAACGAUGCAUAGCCGACCUGAGAGGGUGAUCGGCCACACUGGACCUGAGACACGGUCCAGACUCCUACGGGAGGCAGCAGUAGGGAAUCUUCCGCAAUGGGCGAAAGCCUGACGGAGCAACGCCGCGUGAGUGAUGAAGGUCUUCGGAUCGUAAAACUCUGUUAUUAGGGAAGAACAUAUGUGUAAGUAACUGUGCACGUCUUGACGGUACCUAAUCAGAAAGCCACGGCUAACUACGU